Molecule: ribosomal RNA, 460 nt
Filed under: uncultured bacterium
Lineage: Bacteria
Description: partial 16S ribosomal RNA
Rfam family: Bacterial small subunit ribosomal RNA
Source: RNAcentral
CCUACGGGAGGCAGCAGUGAGGAAUAUUGGUCAAUGGACGAGAGUCUGAACCAGCCAAGUAGCGUGCAGGAUGACUGCCCUAUGGGUUGUAAACUUCUUUUAUACAGGAGUAAAACGAGGCACGUGUGCCUUUUUGCAUGUACUUUAUGAAUAAGGAUCGGCUAACUCCGUGCCAGCAGCCGCGGUAAUACGGAGGAUCCGAGCGUUAUCCGGAUUUAUUGGGUUUAAAGGGAGCGUAGAUGGGUUGUUAAGUCAGUUGUGAAAGUUUGCGGCUCAACCGUAAAAUUGCAAUUGAUACUGGCAGGCUGGAGUACAGUUGAGGUAAGCGGAAUUCGUGGUGUAGCGGUGAAAUGCUUAGAUAUCACGAAGAACCCCGAUGGCGAAGGCAGUUUACUAAACUGUGACUGACACUGAGGCUCGAAAGUGUGGGUAUCAAACAGGAUUAGAUACCCCGGUAGUC